This 218-nucleotide ribosomal RNA is filed under the name uncultured bacterium. Its description in RNAcentral is "partial 16S ribosomal RNA". It matches the Rfam family "Bacterial small subunit ribosomal RNA", at positions 328 to 539 of the family's 1533-position model. The record is from RNAcentral.
ACGCUCGACACCUACGGGGGGCAGCAGUGAGGAAUAUUGGUCAAUGGGCGCUAGCCUGAACCAGCCAAGUAGCGUGAAGGAUGAAGGCUCUAUGGGUCGUAAACUUCUUUUAUAUAAGAAUAAAGUGCAGUAUGUAUACUGUUUUGUAUGUAUUAUGUGAAUAAGGAUCGGCUAACUCCGUGCCAGCAGCCGCGGUAAUCUGAGCGGGCUGGCAAGGC